RNAcentral lists this ribosomal RNA (406 nucleotides) under uncultured bacterium. RNAcentral describes it as "partial 16S ribosomal RNA". It matches the Rfam family "Bacterial small subunit ribosomal RNA", at positions 30 to 526 of the family's 1533-position model. The record is from RNAcentral.
AUUGAACGCUGGCGGCAGGCCUAACACAUGCAAGUCGAGCGAGUGGCGGACGGGUGAGUACUGUAUGGGGGUCUGCUCGUUUGAGGUGGAUAACUCCUGGAGACGCUAGCUACUACCGCAUACUGUCGGAUCUAGCCCUAUGGGAUUAGCUAGUUGGUGAGGUACUGGCUCACCAAGCCGACGAUCCCUAGCUGGUCUGAGAGGAUGAUCAGCCACACUGGAACUGAGACACGGCCCAGACUCCUACGGGAGGCAGCAGUGGGGAAUAUUGCACAAUGGGCGAAAGCCUGAUACAGCCAUGCCGCGUGUGUGAAGAAGGUCUUAGGUUUGUAAAGCACUUUCAGUCGGGAGGCGUUACCGACAGAAGAAGCACCGGCUAACUCCGUGCCAGCAGCCGCGGUAAUAC